UGCGUAGGUGGCGCCGUAAGUCGGGUGUGAAAUUUCGGAGCUUAACUCCGAAACUGCAUUCGAUACUGCGGUGCUUGAGGACUGGAGAGGAGACUGGAAUUUAUGGUGUAGCAGUGAAAUGCGUAGAGAUCAUAAGGAAGACCAGUGGCGAAGGCGGGUCUCUGGACAGUUCCUGACACUGAGGCACCAAGGGGCCAGGGGAGGCAAACG
This 210-nucleotide ribosomal RNA is filed under the name uncultured bacterium. Its description in RNAcentral is "partial 16S ribosomal RNA". It matches the Rfam family "Bacterial small subunit ribosomal RNA", at positions 568 to 775 of the family's 1533-position model. The record is from RNAcentral.